Long non-coding RNA from Hemicordylus capensis (graceful crag lizard), 1572 nucleotides. RefSeq lists it as uncharacterized. The transcript is spliced from 3 exons. The record is from RefSeq and is a predicted model, not a curated record. Lineage: Eukaryota; Metazoa; Chordata; Lepidosauria; Squamata; Cordylidae.
CGUCGGAAUCUCCUCCAGCCGCCGCCAUCUUGACUUCACGUUAAGCAACUUAGAUCGUCUCUGUUCCGGUUGUCUCGUCUAGGAUACGUCACCUACGUGAUCAUAGAGAUUUGAGAAAGACCGAUAACUUCCGGAACUAAAUUAUAGAAAUUGAAGUUCACCCUGCUAAUUCUACCUAUCCAGUGGCCCAAUCCCAGGAGUAAAGACUCAAAACAUAAUCACACUCACUGAUGCUGCAGCACCAAACAGAGUAACAGUGGCUGUCUCCUGCCACCCACUUUGCAUUAUCAUGAUAUAUGCAUAGCCCUGGCUACAGUUAAGAAAACUGAGUGAAUGGAUGGAAAGUGGCACAGACUGUCUCACACAUGCAAGCUGUGUGCUGUCUAUGAACUUCAGGAUCUUCCUAUUGGUUUCUUCAUCUUCCAUUUGACCUGGAGACACUUGGGGCAGUUCUUUCUUUUGGGUAGGGGAGUUUUAUUAUAACCAAAUUUGAGACCAGCGACAGGCCCAGCAGGGCAACUGAAUGCUCACCUUGUAAAAGAGCCACAACUCCUGAGCACAUCAACGAAGGCCACACCAAUGAACCCAUCAACAUUCAGGAUGAGGUUAGGUUUCUGGUAGGGGGGAAUAAAAGGUGGAAAGCUCAUGUUUCUUCCUCCAAGACAUUGCAGGAAUAGACUGGUACUUGCAUUCAACGCAAGUUGUUCAGAGAAAAGCCACUGGGCUUUUGUUGACAAAUGUCUUGGGAUGGGAAUAUCUAUAUGUUGGGACAAUGUUUUUAAUGCAAGUAGUUAUUUUCAGGUAUUGGACUCCUUGGGACUGGGAGUGGUGAGGGAUAGAGCCUUGUAAGAGAUCCCUAGUGCCUUUCACAGCACUACAGAUUCACAAGGCUUCUGAUUAAAAAAAGCCACCAGGGUUUUUCAGGUUUGAAAGAUGUGUGGACAAUAGUAUCUAUAGACCAUGUAAGCCAAGGGAAGGGCCAUACUUCUAUAGAAGCACACAACCGAGAUUCCCAGGUCCUCUCCCUUGGUCAGAAGAGAAAUAUUUUGUUGUUUGUGCUAACAAAACUAUUUAUAGGUCACCUUUACAACAAAGCUAGAGAGGCAGCUCUUUAUAUUGUUCUUUGUGUUCAGACAUGUACACAAAGAACAACACAGGCUUGUAAACAGAUAUUCACUUGGUUGCUCAUGGCAAGUAAAAAAAAAAAGUAGUCACCUCCAGGAAGAAAAAAGAGUGGUCACCUCCAGGUGGCCAAGAAAGAAACCUUUUAAGAUGAUAAAAUAUGCAGUUCCCUUCCUUUACCUUUCCAUGUGUGUGCGUGCGCACACACACACAUGAAGUGACUAAGCAUAAGUUAUAUGGGUAGAUGGGCUAGUAAAGGAAUAUAAUUCUUAAUGAGUAACAUUUAUGUGCAAAGUUAACAUCGUUCCCAGAGCAACAGGAUAGGGGGGAAAGAUGAAGGCAUUCAAUGUGUCAAUGAUUAAUAAAAGUUUAGUACCUUUUGAUUUAAUGUGUUGUGUGUUAUUUCAUAUUGUGUUGUGAGCUGCCCAGAGCACAAUUUGUUAUGGGGUG